AUUGAACGCUGGCGGCAGGCCUAACACAUGCAAGUCGAACGGUAACAGGAAGCAGCUUGCUGCUUUGCUGACGAGUGGCGGACGGGUGAGUAAUGUCUGGGAAAAUGCCCGAUGGAGGGGGAUAACUACUGGAAACGGUAGCUAAUACCGCAUAACGUCGCAAGACCAAGAGGGGGACCUUAGGGCCUCUUGCCAUCGGAUGUGCCCAGAUGGGAUUAGCUAGUAGGUGGGGUAACGGCUCACCUAGGCGACGAUCCGUAGCUGGUCUGAGAGGAUGACCAGCCACACUGGAACUGAGACACGGUCCAGACUCCUACGGGAGGCAGCAGUGGGGAAUAUUGCACAAUGGGCGCAAGCCUGAUGCAGCCAUGCCGCGUGUAUGAAGAAGGCCUUCGGGUUGUAAAGUACUUUCAGCGGGGAGGAAGGGAGUAAAGUUAAUACCUUUGCUCAUUGACGUUACCCGCAGAAGAAGCACCGGCUAACUCCGUG
Molecule: ribosomal RNA, 489 nt
Filed under: uncultured bacterium
Lineage: Bacteria
Description: partial 16S ribosomal RNA
Rfam family: Bacterial small subunit ribosomal RNA
Source: RNAcentral